RNAcentral lists this long non-coding RNA (464 nucleotides) under Mytilus galloprovincialis (Mediterranean mussel). Lineage: Eukaryota; Metazoa; Mollusca; Bivalvia; Mytilida; Mytilidae. The record is from RNAcentral.
GGCGUCAACAAUGCAUUAAUUUGUAUUAUAGGUCUAGUUUACGGUGAACCACAAGUGGUAGGUCAAUCAUAUUUGGUAUGCAGUUGUAUAAGCAUUCGCACAUCUCAUUUCCAUGGAGAAUAUUUGGCCCUGCCCCUUCAGUCAUGGUCUAUUGACUAUAAACUUUUGACUAUUUUACAUGUAUUAGUUGGUGAUUAGGUCAGUUUAUAGGGAACCACAAGUGGUAGGUCAAUGAUAUUUGGUAUGCAGUUGUAUAAGCAUUGGCAUAUCUCAUUUCCAUGGAGAAUAUUUGGCCUCACCCCUCAGUCACAGUCUAAUGACUUUAAAACUAUCUUAGUUUACAUGUAUUAGUUUAUGAUUAGAUCAGUUUAAGACGAACUGCUAAUGUUAAGUCAAUGAAAUCUAGUAUGCAAAUUUAUUGGUAUUUGCAAGUAUUGUUUCCAUGGAGAUUAUAUAGCCCAAAC